This is a long non-coding RNA of Eptesicus fuscus (big brown bat), 672 nucleotides long. RefSeq lists it as uncharacterized. The transcript is spliced from 3 exons. The record is from RefSeq and is a predicted model, not a curated record. Lineage: Eukaryota; Metazoa; Chordata; Mammalia; Chiroptera; Vespertilionidae.
GUGCAUGAUGACUUGAAGUGGUGGGAGGAGUCAGCCCUGCCACAGAGAGUCCACAGAGGCCCUCAGAAUCAAGCAGGGCUGCCCCGAGGCUGGACUACCUUCUGCUAGUACACAUGCCUUGCACCCAAGAAGGAAAGUUUACCAGCUCAGGAAAAUGACCCAGGACUGCACAAAGAUGAGUACACUGAGCCUUAAAGAAGUUAAGAGCAUUGUUCACCAUCCCAAAGCUAAUCAGUGGAAGAAAGGGAAAUGCAAACCCAGGGGAGUGGAUAAACGAAUGACCAGAGGCACAGACAAUCCCCUCAUCAGCACCACUACCAUCCUGGAGAAUGUCCUUGAAGGCAAGAGAAACCUUUCCAGGAGCUCUGAGAAGUAGGGAGACGCCCCGAGCAAGCUGAGCAAGCCAAGCAGGAGUGGGAACGGAAGCCUAAACACAAGCUUGACAAGCCUGAUGCCUGAGCAGUGCUGGAGCAGGUGAUGGAGCCUGGGCUGGAGCUCAGCGUCGUUGGAGGAGGUGAACGUCUACCAGAGUAAGAGGUCCUGAAGGACCAGGGUCUGGACCCAGCCGAGACCUCCCUGAAGGGAGAGCUGGACUAGACCUCCAGAGGUCAGAAACCUUAAACAUACUAUAUAGUUGACCCACCCCAUCUCCACUGUAUAAUUCAGUGCUAA